Long non-coding RNA from Brassica napus (rape), 2574 nucleotides. RefSeq lists it as uncharacterized. Lineage: Eukaryota; Viridiplantae; Streptophyta; Magnoliopsida; Brassicales; Brassicaceae. The record is from RefSeq and is a predicted model, not a curated record. The transcript is spliced from 2 exons.
UAAAACUGAGACCCUGAAGCAGAGAAGAAGAGAAAGAAGAAGAAGACAUACUCAUAAUCCAAGCUCUCGAUGUGAGAAACUUUGGUGCCGACCAAAGCAAGUGGUGUGGAAGAAAGUUUUCGAUUAGCCUUAACAAGAGAUAAAGAAGAAACUGGCUUUUGGUCGGAAACUCUGCAACAGAACUGUGUUUAAGGUUCUUGAAGAGCUUUCUCUUUUAAAGAAAGCACUUAUGGGUGGGUUUUUCUAUUUUAAUUAUUUAUCUUUCCAUGCAAAUUAAUUUUUAGGCUUUUGUCUUUAUUUUGCUUUCUACCAAGUUUUAUACUAGUACAUGUCUACAUACAUACGUAUGUGUAGAUGCAUAUAUUAUUUGUUUUUUUUUUUGGAUCAAAUAAUCUAUACUUGUUUUCUUCUACACCAAACAACCAAAUCAAUGCUAUUUGUUAUUUUUAUCUGUAAACAAAAAAGGGAAAAUUGCCAAAAGAGAACAAAAAAAUCAGGUUAUUGUCCCUUUGGUAUAAAACCAAUUUUGUCCAUUUUUUCUCAUUUUUAUCCUUUGUAUUUCUGAAAACUAAUGAAAUAAAUAAUUUUGUGAAUCAAAAAAAUUAUUAAAAAUAUAAACAAUUAAUAAAACAUCCAUAUACACAAGCUGGUAAAUUUCUUUUGUUCAAAAACUUGUAAAUAAGAUUUUUAAAAUACGUCUACUAAAAGUAGAAUGCGUCUUCUACGAAAAAUGGUAUAGUAGAAAACGAUUUCUAAAAUAAACACGUUCAUCUACUUCUCUUAUAACGUCCAUUUUACUAUUUACUAAAUUUCUAAAAAAGAGGAAUGCAAAUUCUACUAAUCGUAAAGGUAUCCACUUUCCUUCCGAAUGCAUCUUCUACUUUUAUAAAGUAUUCUAAAUUUUGGAGAAUGUAUUUUCUACAAUGUACUCUUAUGUCUACUCAAAGUAGAAAGUGUAUUCAGAAUUUUUAUCAUUCUUCUAAACUUUUAGAAGUCACCUUCUACGGAUAAGAAUACCUGAUUUUUUGCAAAAAUUAAUGAAAUUUCAGUUAAGAAAAUAUUUUAAAAAUCUCCUAGAAAUAUUCUAACUUCCUAAAACGUGUUAUGGUCGAUUUUACUUGAAAAAAUUAAAUAAAAAAAUGAUUCUCCCUUCUCUUCUUCAUCAAUCUAUGGUUUUUCCAUAAUUUUUCUUUUGAUUCUUCUCACAAACUCUUGUUCUCUAAGAUGCAUAUCUAUACCUCUUUUUUUCAUUGCCUUUCAACUGUUUUUUUUUUUCCUUUUCUCCAUUAACUUUUUUUUUUUAAAAUUCAAAUUAACUUUUAAGUUGUAUUUAAUUAGAUUAAAUAUAAGGUUAGUUUUGGGGUUAUGAGAAAAAUUAUACUAUCGAAACAAUUUUAUGUUGGUUUUAUAGCAAAGGGACAGCAACCUUAUUUUUUUGUUCUCUUUUAGCAAUUUUCCCAACAAAAAACUACAUAAAACCUAUGAAAACUCCUUUCAAAACAUGUUUGUGUCUCAAUGGUCCAAAUUGAUUUAAACACUAAAAUGUAACUAAAUAACGAAACUAUGAUAAAAUAUCAAUAAAUUAAGACUAAGAUCUCUAUUUGAAAAUUUAACAAUGUUUUACAAAUGGAUUGAAGACUAUUUCUGAACCUCUCCAACUCAGCCAAGACAUUACACCAUACAGAUCAGAAGCAUCUUUAAGCCUAUCACAUGUACCCACGUGUAACAGUUCCAAUGCGCCAAACUUCUGGAAACCUUGACCUCUUGAGGUGAUCAAAGAGACACUUCUAAUCUUUUAUAUAUUACUAAUAAAAAGUUGAAACAGUUAGCAGUUAGCACUACUAGAAAUGGUAUUUUAGAGUCUCAGGUAAAAAAAAAAGUAUGAACCUCUCAAAUGAAAAUAUCAAUAUUUUAUUUGUUUAUUAUUUUGGUACUUGUUUUAAAGACAGUUAAACCAUUACCUGAAUAAAGCUAUAACUUGAGUUUCUUAUGUAUUUUUAAAUGUUUAUUAAAAAGGAAUUGUUCUAAAAGCUUUCUCUUAACUUUAACUUCUUAUUUAUUUUAAUUUUGAGAUGCCAACGAUGAUAAUGCUAUUUCAUUUUUUUAACUAAUCUUAUAGUAUCAUUUAGUCCUUCUUUUUCAUUUUUCUAAUUACCAUUUCUCGUCGAAACAUAUUUGAAAACCAUUUUCAUAAUAAAUCGAACCCAACAAGUAACAGUGAUAAAACCUACAAAGAAACAAGAAAAAAGAAAAAAAGAUAAAUAACAAUCCAAACUACUAAACUAGACCAUAAGAUUUUGGUUCGCGCAGCGCAAGAGAUUAAAGCAACAUUGUGCAUGUGAUUAUCACAAGAAGAGAGUUACCGAACGGCGAUCUUGUCUGUCUGUGCCCACUAAGAAUACUUGUCUUAUCCAAGACCAGUUGGCAGUCGUGGUUCAUGUGAUUUUUAUAUGAGAAAUAAAAGAUUUAAACAAAAGUCGUAUAUGUGUUUUUCUGCUAGGUUAUUAGCAUGUUUGUCUCCCUCGCAGUCGUAAAAAUUACCGCACUAUUUGUCAAUUUAUUUUUACACUAGUA